GACGAACGCUGGCGGCGUGCUUAACACAUGCAAGUCGAACGGAAAGGCCCCUUUGGGGGUACUCGAGUGGCGAACGGGUGAGUAACACGUGAGUAACCUGCCCUUGACUUCGGGAUAACUUCAGGAAACUGGGGCUAAUACCGGAUAGGAAUCCUUGCUGCAUGGUGGGGGUUGGAAAGCUUCGGCGGUUUUGGAUGGACUCGCGGCUUAUCAGCUUGUUGGUGGGGUAGUGGCUUACCAAGGCUUUGACGGGUAGCCGGCCUGAGAGGGCGACCGGCCACAUUGGGACUGAGAUACGGCCCAGACUCCUACGGGAGGCAGCAGUGGGGAACAUUGCACAAUGGGCGGAAGCCUGAUGCAGCAACGCCGCGUGCGGGAUGACGGCCUUCGGGUUGUAAACCGCUUUCAGCAGGGGCGAAGCUUGUGGUGACGGUACCUGCAGAAGAAGCACCGGCUAACUACGUG
This 465-nucleotide ribosomal RNA is filed under the name uncultured bacterium. RNAcentral's name for it is "partial 16S ribosomal RNA". It matches the Rfam family "Bacterial small subunit ribosomal RNA", at positions 28 to 507 of the family's 1533-position model. The record is from RNAcentral.